GACGAACGCUGGCGGCGUGCUUAACACAUGCAAGUCGAACGGUAAGGCUCCAGCUUGCUGGGGUACACGAGUGGCGAACGGGUGAGUAACACGUGGGUGACCUGCCCUGCACUUCGGGAUAAGCCUGGGAAACUGGGUCUAAUACCGGAUAGGACCGCACCGUGAGGGUGUGGUGGAAAGUUUUUUCGGUGUGGGAUGGGCCCGCGGCCUAUCAGCUUGUUGGUGGGGUAAUGGCCUACCAAGGCGGCGACGGGUAGCCGGCCUGAGAGGGUGGACGGCCACAUUGGGACUGAGACACGGCCCAGAGUCCUACGGGAGGCAGCAGUGGGGAAUAUUGCACAAUGGGCGGAAGCCUGAUGCAGAGACGCCGCGUGGGGGAUGACCGCCUUCGGGUUGUAAACUCCUUUAGCCAUCGACGAAGGGUUUCUGACGGUAGAUGGAGAAGAAGCACCGGCUAACUACGUG
Molecule: ribosomal RNA, 465 nt
Filed under: uncultured bacterium
Lineage: Bacteria
Description: partial 16S ribosomal RNA
Rfam family: Bacterial small subunit ribosomal RNA
Source: RNAcentral